RNAcentral lists this small nuclear RNA (103 nucleotides) under Sphenodon punctatus (tuatara). Lineage: Eukaryota; Metazoa; Chordata; Lepidosauria; Sphenodontia; Sphenodontidae. The record is from RNAcentral.
GUGCUUUGUCAGUACAUAUACCAAAACUGGAACAAUAUAGAGAAGAUUGCUAUCGGCCCUGCACAAGGAUGGCAUGCAAAUUUGUGAAGCAUUCCAUAUUUUU